Molecule: ribosomal RNA, 1485 nt
Filed under: Anthocoris melanocerus
Lineage: Eukaryota; Metazoa; Arthropoda; Insecta; Hemiptera; Anthocoridae
Description: SSU rRNA
Rfam family: Eukaryotic small subunit ribosomal RNA
Source: RNAcentral
GGUAGGGGCGCUUUUAUUGGAACAAGACCAUUCGCCCGGUCCGCCGGGCGUCUCCUUGAUGAAUCCAAAUAACACAUCAGAUCGCAUGGUCCUCGUACCGGCGACUUAUCUUUCAAAUGCCUGACUUAUCAACUGACGAUGGUAGACUCUGUGUCUACCAUGGCUCCUACGGGUAACGGGGAAUCAGGGUUCGAUUCCGGAGAGGGAGCCUGAGAAACGGCUACCACAUCCAAGGAAGGCAGCAGGCACGCAAAUUACCCACUCCCGGCACGGGGAGGUAGUGACAAAAAAUAACGAUACGGGACUCGAUAUGAGGCCCCGUAAUCGGAAUGAGUACACUUUAAACCCUUAUUCAAAUAUCAAUUGGAGGGAAAGUCUGGUGCCAGCAGCCGCGGUAAUUCCAGCUCCAAUAGCGUAUAUUAAAGUUGUUGCGGUUAAAAAGCUCGUAGUUGGUUCUGCGUCCCACGCUGUCGGUACACCUUUUGUUGGUGACACUGGCAUGCCGUGGUAUGUCCUGUCGGUGGCGGCCUUCGGUGGCCCUAGCGCUUCGGAUAAAACCGUUGUGCGAAGGUCUACCCGGUCGCCGGCUACUAUCCUACUCCGGUGCUCUUCAUUGAGUGUCGAGGUAGGCCGACACGUUUACUUUGAACAAAUUUGAGUGCUUAAAGCAGGCAAAAAUCUCUGCCUGAAUAGUGGUGCAUGGAAUAAUGGAACAGGCCCUUGGUUCUAUUUUGUUGGUCUUCGGAACACAAGGAAAUGAUCAAUGUGGACAGGCGGGGGCAUUCGUAUUGCGGCUCCGAUGACUCGGCGGGGAGCUUUCUUCGGGAAACCAAAGCUUUUGGGUUCCGGGGGAAGUAUGGUUGCAAAGCUGAAACUUAAAGGAAUUGACGGAAGGGCACCACAAGGAGUGGAGCCUGCGGCUUAAUUUGACUCAACACGGGAAACCUCACCAGGUCAGGACAUUGGAAUGAUUGACAGAUUGAUAGCUCUUUCUUGAUUCAGUGGGUAGUGGUGCAUGGCCGUUCUUAGUUGGUGGAUCGAUUUGUCUGGUUAAUUCCGAUAACGAACGAGACUCUAGCCAAUUAACUAGACGUUUCCGGUAUCGAAGCUACCGGCGAUAUAUUAUCUUCUUAGGGGGACAGGCGGCUCUUAGCCGCACGAGAUUGAGCAAUAACAGGUCUGUGAUGCCCUUAGAUGUCCUGGGCCGCACGCGCGCUACACUGAAGGAAUCAGCCUGUUCGUUCCCUUGGCCGAAAGGCCCGGGUAACCCGCUGAACCUCCUUCGUGCUAGGAAUUGGGGCUUGCAAUUGUUCCCCAUGAACGAGGAAUUCCUAGUAAGCGCGAGUCAUAAGCUCGCGUUGAUUACGUCCCUGCCCUUUGUACACACCGCCCGUCGCUACUACCGAUUGAAUGAUUUAGUGAGGUCUUCGGACCGGCGGUAAGCCCAACCGACUUCGGCCGGUUUUGUCGAACGCUGGAAAGAUG